This 252-nucleotide ribosomal RNA is filed under the name uncultured bacterium. RNAcentral describes it as "partial 16S ribosomal RNA". It matches the Rfam family "Bacterial small subunit ribosomal RNA", at positions 524 to 777 of the family's 1533-position model. The record is from RNAcentral.
UACGGGGGGGCAAGCGUUGUUCGGAAUUACUGGGCGUAAAGGGCUCGUAGGCGGCCAACUAAGUCAGACGUGAAAUCCCUCGGCUUAACCGGGAACUGCGUCUGAUACUGGAUGGCUUGAGUUUGGGAGAGGGAUGCGGAAUUCCAGGUGUAGCGGUGAAAUGCGUAGAUAUCUGGAGGAACACCGGUGGCGAAGGCGGCAUCCUGGACCAACACUGACGCUGAGUGAGCGAAAGCCAGGGAGCAAACGGGG